GGCCCCGUGGCGCAAUGGUAGCGCGUCUGACUCCAGUUCAGAAGGCUGGGUGUUCGAGUCACUCCGGGGUCA
This 72-nucleotide transfer RNA is filed under the name Penaeus monodon (black tiger shrimp). RNAcentral's name for it is "tRNA-Trp". It matches the Rfam family "tRNA". Rfam says of the family: Transfer RNA (tRNA) molecules are approximately 80 nucleotides in length. Their secondary structure includes four short double-helical elements and three loops (D, anti-codon, and T loops). Lineage: Eukaryota; Metazoa; Arthropoda; Malacostraca; Decapoda; Penaeidae. RNAcentral also lists the same sequence under 1 other name. The record is from RNAcentral.